GAUGAACGCUGGCGGCAUGCCUAACACAUGCAAGUCGGGCGGGCAGUUGUGUUUCUUGUGGCGGACGGGUUAGCAACGGGCAAGAACCUGCCAUGUGGAUGGGAACACCAUCUGGAAACGGCUACUAAUACCACGCAGGCCUAGGAGCAGAAGGAGGAAUCCGCCCGAGGAGGGGCUUGCGACUGAUUAGCUAGUUGGUGAGUCAAUAGCUUACCAAGGCGAUGAUCAGUAGUUGUUCCGAGAGGAUGAACCGCCACACUGGGACUGAGCCACGGUCCAGGCUACUACGCGAGGCAGCAGUGGGGAAUAUGCCGCAAUGGGCGAAAGCCUGACGGGGCAAUGGCGCGUGGAGGUAGAGGGCCCACGGGUCGUGAAAUGCUUUUCCCGGAGAAGAAGCAAUGACGGUAUCUGGGGAAUAAGCAUCGGCUAACUCUGUG
Molecule: ribosomal RNA, 437 nt
Filed under: uncultured bacterium
Lineage: Bacteria
Description: partial 16S ribosomal RNA
Rfam family: Bacterial small subunit ribosomal RNA
Source: RNAcentral